AAUGUAUUUACUGUAUAAUCCCGGAAUAUA
RNAcentral lists this non-coding RNA (30 nucleotides) under Cricetulus griseus (Chinese hamster). The record is from RNAcentral. Lineage: Eukaryota; Metazoa; Chordata; Mammalia; Rodentia; Cricetidae.